Molecule: long non-coding RNA, 1152 nt
Filed under: Callithrix jacchus (white-tufted-ear marmoset)
Lineage: Eukaryota; Metazoa; Chordata; Mammalia; Primates; Cebidae
Description: lncRNA (ENSCJAG00000051507.2)
Source: RNAcentral
AAACUGCAACUGUGAGUCGGCCAAUAAGUCUUUGGAUUAUCCCCCUCCAACCUAUGUGAGAGUAGGUUGCAGAUUCCUUUUUUUGAAAAAAAAAAAAAAAAAAACAACGUUUGUAAGAAAAUCUUGCAGUAGAGAGCACUUUGCCACUUUGCUAUGGACAUCACCACCACCACUCAAGCUAAGAGAGGCUCCCCAAGACAACUCAGAAUAAGGGAAGUUGAGAGACUGACAUCUGCUUCCGCUCCAACUGCUGAGCUAUAGAAACGUAUAAACCUACCCAAUUCUGUCUCUGGAGUACAGUUUGAAGGAGUUUUUGGUAAAGCUUGACAUGUCCUCAGCGUUUUAGAUUGUAGAUGAGGAUAGAGACUGAUGACUGCUCCUACCUGAACAAACCUGUAGAGAGGAGACUGGUGUGGCAGCCCGACAUGGCAGGGAACUCACACAGUUCAAAGAGUGGAAUGUUAUCAAGGCAUUGCCUGAUGGGUCUGUCACCACACUCACUGGAGGGAAUUAAUCUAGGAAGAGGCAGGUUCCAGGGACUAUCAGCAACAUACCAAACCACAGCGAGAUAUCAAGCAUGACUCAGCUCCUGCCCACUGCAAUUACUCAGGACCUCUGCCCUUCAGAUGUGGGAAAAAGCCCAGCAGUGUCUUGCAGUAACUGCUGCUCAGGUCAGGAACAUGACCUAGGAAGUCCUUUGCUAAGGGGAGGCUCAAACUGGAUUUCAGAAGGCCCACCCGACCAGGAUGACUGAAACAAACUGUGGACUGGGUACCAAUCCAAAGGAUAAUAUUGUAGCAUCAGGAAUAAAAUAAAUUUCAACUCAAUAAGAAGCCUAACUUAUGCAUUUAAAAUGUUUGCAGGUGGAUAUUAGUGGUGAUCCUGGGCAAAGUUGGCGCUAGGCACAGGCACAGCUGUGCAAGGAGAUGGCAAAAGGGAAAAGUCCAAAAGGGGCACCAGCAUGUUCCAUAGUGUGCGAGAGAGGAAAAUGAAAACACCAUUUGCCAGGUGCCUGCCAAGGGAUAUACCUGGGCCUGCAGCUCUAGAGAUGUUCCUCUGAACAAAAUAGGAGCCAUCUAGGACAAGUGGUACCUGGCUAUGGCAAAGAGGAGGGAACUUAAGCCCAACGCGUCAGUAAAUGAUGGAUUUGAG